RNAcentral lists this small RNA (124 nucleotides) under unclassified sequences. RNAcentral describes it as "LOOT RNA". It matches the Rfam family "LOOT RNA". Rfam says of the family: Latescibacteria, OD1/Parcubacteria, OP11, TM7. Lineage (Microgenomates, aka OP11) The record is from Rfam by way of RNAcentral.
UGCCUAACCCUCAUAGAUUCAUUACGAGAUAUGGCAUAAAAACUGUUCAGGCUAUUAAGCUCGUCGUCAGAGCACCUGAACAGUCAUACCCCGAAAGGGGUAUGGGUAGUCCGCAAGGAUUAUC